This 433-nucleotide unclassified non-coding RNA is filed under the name soil metagenome. RNAcentral describes it as "partial contains 5.8S ribosomal RNA, internal transcribed spacer 2, and large subunit ribosomal RNA". The stretch from base 1 to 120 matches the Rfam family "5.8S ribosomal RNA", at positions 35 to 154 of the family's 154-position model. The record is from RNAcentral.
GAUGAAGAACGUAGCGAAAUGCGAUACGUAAUGUGAAUUGCAGAAUUCAGUGAAUCAUCGAAUCUUUGAACGCAUAUUGCGCUCUCUGGUAUUCCGGAGAGCAUGCUUGUUUGAGUAUCAGUAAACACCUCAACUUCCAUAUCUUUUUUGAGAUGGGAGUUGGACUUGAGUGAUCCCAACGCUUUUCCUCACCGAAAAGUGGCGGGUUACUUGAAAUGCAGGUGCAGCUGGACUUUUCUCUGAGCUAUAAGCAUAUCUAUUUAGUCUGCCUAAAAAACAGAUUAUUACCUUUGCUGCAGCUAACAUAAAGGAGAUUAGUUCUUGUGCUGACUGAUGCAGGAUUCACAAAGACAGGCUUCGGCCGACUUUGUAAACUCGAUCUCAAAUCAAGUAAGACUACCCGCUGAACUUAAGCAUAUCAAUAAGCGGAGGA